GAUGAACGCCGGCGGCGUGCUUAACACAUGCAAGUCGAACGAGAGAAGAUCGGUGCUUGCACUGAUCCGAUCGAGUGGCGGACGGGUGAGUAACGCGUGGGUAACCUGCCGCAUACAGGGGAAGAACAGUUGGAAACGGAUGCUAAAACCGCAUAAGCGCACAGUAUCGCAUGAUACAGUGUGAAAAACUCCGGUGGUAUGAGAGGGACCCGCGUCUGAUUAGCUAGUUGGGGAGGUAACGGCGCACCAAGGCAACGAUCAGUAGCCGGCCUGAGAGGGUGAACGGCCACAUUGGGACUGAGACACGGCCCAAACUCCUACGGGAGGCAGCGGUGGGGAAUAUUGCACAAUGGGGGAAACCCUGAUGCAGCGACGCCGCGUGAAUGAUGAAGUAUUUCGGUAUGUAAAGCUCUAUCAGCAGGGAAGAUAAUGACGGUACCUGACUAAGAAGCACCGGCUAAAUACGUGCCAGCCGCCGCGGUAA
Molecule: ribosomal RNA, 484 nt
Filed under: uncultured bacterium
Lineage: Bacteria
Description: partial 16S ribosomal RNA
Rfam family: Bacterial small subunit ribosomal RNA
Source: RNAcentral